Molecule: long non-coding RNA, 1437 nt
Filed under: Olea europaea (common olive)
Lineage: Eukaryota; Viridiplantae; Streptophyta; Magnoliopsida; Lamiales; Oleaceae
Description: long non-coding RNA (OEUR_LNC012191)
Source: RNAcentral
AAAUCUUAACCAUCACAACAGCAAAUCAUAAUCCAUAUAUACAACACCAACCCAGCCUGUCACCUCCGGCCCAAUUACAGCAGCCCAUGCAACAUUAACCCAGCCCACAUUAGCUAUUACCCACACAAGUCACAAACCAGCCCAAUUCUUUCAUCUUCUUCAACACAUUUAGCUUCAAAUCGUGCCACCGUCACUGUCCAGUCCACCACUGUCAUCACCAUCUGCAACCUCUUGACUCGUCUAUAGCUCUAUCACCGACACUACGCACACUAGCCGGCAAUCCCUCUAUUAUCGCUGUCUUCCAUCGCUACUACCCGAAUUUUAAAUCCCUGCCGACCACAAAAGCUUCUUCCCCGAUAUCCCACAGGUCGUUGGCAACCAUAAUCCUGUUCUCUCAUUUACCAGCAUCCACUUCAAAUCAGCACAGUCAACCAUAUACAUAAUCCAAUUUGCCGCCUUCUUCAACACAUUCUACAGAUAUCUACCACCGACACCCAUUCAGUUACACAGAGGUUUCUAUUUCAGCAUCUGUCCAAUUUCAGUGAAGCCAACAAUUUAGAAUAUGCAAUGACCGUGAGUUCAGGAGCUGGAGACAUUUGACACAGGCAGAUCAGAGGCCCAAUCGUUAGCAAUUCAGGAAACUAGACUACAGGGAGUUGCUAUCUCCUAAUUCUCAUUGGUUUAUACUGCUGUUUUAUUUUAAAAGUGCAUCACUUAGAUUCUUUGUGUUGUUGUUACUAUCACAACUUUGGCCUCAAACUUCACUUGACUAGAAUCACUCAUUGAAUUGACUUGCCAUUGUUGCCCCAUUUAUCUCACUGAAUUGAUGUGACAUUAUUACCUCUUUUAUCUACCUGAUCGGAAAUCUUGACAAUACCAUUUGAUCUUAACAAGCAUUGGACCCUUGCUUUAUUCUUUACAAGCAUCAGCACUAUUAACUUGCAUUUUUGGAAGGAAAGAAAGGAGAGAGAGAAUUUCAAAUUGAUGUUUUAAUUGUUGGUCCUUGAUGCAUAUUGGUCUCUCUAUUGCAUUUCAUUUAGGUAGUAUUGCUUUGCAUACAAUUGCAUAGUGGUCGUCCUGUCACUUUACUACUUUAAACAUGAACCCCUCACAAUUUGAUGCACUCACCCGACAAAUAGCGGCUAUCCAAACUCAGGUGAUUACUACUCUUGAAGAAAGUAAGGCUUUAUCUGCUAAUUUGAACAACUUUAAGAAAAUCUCUCGUUCAACCGACGUUCACAAAUCCAAAGUGUCCCAUAAUAGACAUUAUCAUCAUUAUCAUGGUGAUCAAAAAUGCUUUAGACACAAUCGUAGGUAUAGGGAUCAGAUUCGUGAGCGAGAACGAGAUAAUUUAGAAAUUCUUACUCAAUGGAAUGCCCUUAAACAAGGAAAUCAACUAGUGACUGAGUAUAUCGCACAAUUUGAGGAAUUUCGAAU